RNAcentral lists this ribosomal RNA (406 nucleotides) under uncultured bacterium. RNAcentral describes it as "partial 16S ribosomal RNA". It matches the Rfam family "Bacterial small subunit ribosomal RNA", at positions 30 to 526 of the family's 1533-position model. The record is from RNAcentral.
AUCGAACGCUGGCGGCAGGCCUAACACAUGCAAGUCGAACGAGUGGCGGACGGGUGAGUAAUGUCUGGGAAACUGCCUGAUGGAGGGGGAUAACUACUGGAAACGGUAGCUAAUACCGCAUACCAUCAGAUGUGCCAAGAUGGGAUUAGCUUGUUGGUGGGGUAACGGCUCACCAAGGCGACGAUCCCCAGCUGGUCUGAGAGGUUGACCAGCCACACUAGAGCUGAGACACGGUCCAGACUCCUACGGGAGGCAGCAUUGGGGAAUCUUGCACACUGGGCGCAAUCCUGAUGCAGCCAUGCCGCGUGUAUGAAGAAGGCCUUCGGGUUGUAAAGUACUUUCAGCGGGGAGGCGUUACCCGCAGAGGAAGCCCCGGCUAACUCCGUGCCAGCAGCCGCGGUAAUAC